Molecule: ribosomal RNA, 163 nt
Filed under: uncultured bacterium
Lineage: Bacteria
Description: partial 16S ribosomal RNA
Rfam family: Bacterial small subunit ribosomal RNA
Source: RNAcentral
UAGGGAAUUUUCGUUCAAUGGGCGCAAGCCUGAACGAGCAAUGCCGUGUGAACGAGGAAGGUAUUCGGAUCGUAAAGUUCUGUUGAAGGGGAAAAAGAGCGGAGAGAGGAAAUGGUCUCCGAUUGAUAUUACCCUUCGAGGAAGUCACGGCUAACUACGUGCC